GCCUCUGUAGUUCAAUGGAUAGAACGGCCCCCUCCUAAGGGGCAAAUAGAAGUUCGAUUCUUCUCGGAGGCA
Molecule: transfer RNA, 72 nt
Filed under: Candidatus Vogelbacteria bacterium CG10_big_fil_rev_8_21_14_0_10_51_16
Lineage: Bacteria; Candidatus Vogeliibacteriota
Description: tRNA-Arg
Rfam family: tRNA
About the family: Transfer RNA (tRNA) molecules are approximately 80 nucleotides in length. Their secondary structure includes four short double-helical elements and three loops (D, anti-codon, and T loops).
Source: RNAcentral